ACGGAGGAUGCAAGCGUUAUCCGGAAUGAUUGGGCGUAAAGCGUCCGCAGGUGGCAUAUCAAGUCUGCGGUCAAAGGUCGAGGCUCAACCUCGAAUCGGCCGUGGAAACUGAGAAGCUAGAGUGUGGUAGGGGCAGAGGGAAUUCCCAGUGUAGCGGUGAAAUGCGUAGAGAUGUGGAGGAACACCAGUGGCGAAGGCGACUUUCUGGCCUAUAACUGACGCUGAGGCGCGAAAGCGUGGGGAGCAAACAGGA
RNAcentral lists this ribosomal RNA (253 nucleotides) under uncultured prokaryote. Its description in RNAcentral is "partial 16S ribosomal RNA". It matches the Rfam family "Bacterial small subunit ribosomal RNA", at positions 525 to 777 of the family's 1533-position model. The record is from RNAcentral.